GGUUGCGAUCGCUCCCUGCGCUGGACUGACAUCCCAUCAGAACUCCGAAGUUAAGCGUGCUUGGGCGAGAGUAGUACUAGAAUGGGUGACCCCCUGGGAAGUCCUCGUGCUGCACCCC
Molecule: ribosomal RNA, 118 nt
Filed under: Olea europaea subsp. europaea
Lineage: Eukaryota; Viridiplantae; Streptophyta; Magnoliopsida; Lamiales; Oleaceae
Source: RNAcentral